GGAAAGGCGCGCGAUACAGGGUGACAGCCCCGUACACAAAAAUGCACAUGCUGUGAGCUCGAUGAGUAGGGCGGGACACGUGGUAUCCUGUCUGAAUAUGGGGGGACCAUCCUCCAAGGCUAAAUACUCCUGACUGACCGAUAGUGAACCAGUACCGUGAGGGAAAGGCGAAAAGAACCCCGGCGAGGGGAGUGAAAAAGAACCUGAAACCGUGUACGUACAAGCAGUGGGAGCACGCUUAGGCGUGUGACUGCGUACCUUUUGUAUAAUGGGUCAGCGACUUAUAUUCUGUAGCAAGGUUAACCGAAUAGGGGAGCCGAAGGGAAACCGAGUCUUAACUGGGCGUUAAGUUGCAGGGUAUAGACCCGAAACCCGGUGAUCUAGCCAUGGGCAGGUUGAAGGUUGGGUAACACUAACUGGAGGACCGAACCGACUAAUGUUGAAAAAUUAGCGGAUGACUUGUGGCUGGGGGUGAAAGGCCAAUCAAACCGGGAGAUAGCUGGUUCUCCCCGAAAGCUAUUUAGGUAGCGCCUCGUGAAUUCAUCUCCGGGGGUAGAGCACUGUUUCGGCAAGGGGGUCAUCCCGACUUACCAACCCGAUGCAAACUGCGAAUACCGGAGAAUGUUAUCACGGGAGACACACGGCGGGUGCUAACGUCCGUCGUGAAGAGGGAAACAACCCAGACCGCCAGCUAAGGUCCCAAAGUCAUGGUUAAGUGGGAAACGAUGUGGGAAGGCCCAGACAGCCAGGAUGUUGGCUUAGAAGCAGCCAUCAUUUAAAGAAAGCGUAAUAGCUCACUGGUCGAGUCGGCCUGCGCGGAAGAUGUAACGGGGCUAAACCAUGCACCGAAGCUGCGGCAGCGACGCUGAUGCGUUGUUGGGUAGGGGAGCGUUCUGUAAGCCUGCGAAGGUGUGCUGUGAGGCAUGCUGGAGGUAUCAGAAGUGCGAAUGCUGACAUAAGUAACGAUAAAGCGGGUGAAAAGCCCGCUCGCCGGAAGACCAAGGGUUCCUGUCCAACGUUAAUCGGGGCAGGGUGAGUCGACCCCUAAGGCGAGGCCGAAAGGCGUAGUCGAUGGGAAACAGGUUAAUAUUCCUGUACUUGGUGUUACUGCGAAGGGGGGACGGAGAAGGCUAUGUUGGCCGGGCGACGGUUGUCCCGGUUUAAGCGUGUAGGCUGGUUUUCCAGGCAAAUCCGGAAAAUCAAGGCUGAGGCGUGAUGACGAGGCACUGCGGUGCUGAAGCAACAAAUGCCCUGCUUCCAGGAAAAGCCUCUAAGCAUCAGGUAACAUCAAAUCGUACCCCAAACCGACACAGGUGGUCAGGUAGAGAAUACCAAGGCGCUUGAGAGAACUCGGGUGAAGGAACUAGGCAAAAUGGUGCCGUAACUUCGGGAGAAGGCACGCUGAUAUGUAGGUGAAGUCCCUCGCGGAUGGAGCUGAAAUCAGUCGAAGAUACCAGCUGGCUGCAACUGUUUAUUAAAAACACAGCACUGUGCAAACACGAAAGUGGACGUAUACGGUGUGACGCCUGCCCG
RNAcentral lists this ribosomal RNA (1533 nucleotides) under Escherichia coli. Its description in RNAcentral is "partial 23S ribosomal RNA". It matches the Rfam family "Bacterial large subunit ribosomal RNA", at positions 344 to 1865 of the family's 2925-position model. The record is from RNAcentral. Lineage: Bacteria; Pseudomonadati; Pseudomonadota; Gammaproteobacteria; Enterobacterales; Enterobacteriaceae.